GACGAACGCUGGCGGCGUGCUUAACACAUGCAAGUCGAACGCGAAAGCCGGGUGUUUUCGCGGUGGGGUUGGGUGGCCCACGGGAGAGGCACAUGGGUUUGACCUGCCUUCCACUCUGGGAUGAUCAUGGGAAAUUGGGUCUUAUACUGGAUGAGUUAUGGCACCUGGUUGGGGUGUGUGUAGAUUGUUUUGUUGGUUGUGGAUGGGCUCACGGCCUAUCAGCUUGUUGGGUGGGUAAUGGAUAACCAAAGCCACGAUGGGUAGCCGGCCUGGGCGGGUGACCGGCCACACUGGGACUGAGAUGCGGCACAGACUCCUACGGGAGGCAGCAGUGGGGAAUAUUGCACAAUGGGCUGAAGCAUGAUGCAGCCACGCAGCGUGGGGGAUGACGGGAUUCGGGUUGUAAACCACUGUCCGCUCGGACGAAGCGAGAGUGACAGUACGUGGAGAAGAAGCUCCGGCUAACUACGUG
Molecule: ribosomal RNA, 472 nt
Filed under: uncultured bacterium
Lineage: Bacteria
Description: partial 16S ribosomal RNA
Rfam family: Bacterial small subunit ribosomal RNA
Source: RNAcentral